GCCAGGCCGGUCGCUAGAGUAGCCCCUUCCUCCUCGCCUCGUCAGCCCUGAGGCUACCCUCGUGGGGAAAGUGGGGGCUCAACGGUCUCGUCUUUUACGAAGCAGAUGGACUCCUGGACUCUAGGGCCUCGAACUGUUUGGGAGACUGAUGGGCAGGAGCCUUAUGCAGCCGGAGGGCCGGCGGUCAGUCAGUGGGCUUGGCCCGCGCUGGCGUCUGGCCCAGCUGUCGAAGCUCGGCUGGGCCCAGCUUGCUGCUGGCCCGGAGCUAACUGGGUCCCCUGAUGGCUGGGAUGAAGAGUGCAAUGCAUGUUUCAAAGAGGGCAUGCUUCCUUCACCUGGGUCCCAGGAUGGUGGAACAAAGCUGAAGAUGACUGUGAUUGACAAACAUGAAGAGAAAUAAACCUUACUGUAAGUAAUUUCAACUGGGGGGGUUAUUACCUUAGAAUGACUUAGGUUGAUCAAUGUAUUGCCCAAACUGAAUGAAGACAAACCAUGAGACUAGUAUUAAUUACGAGUAUUUGAGAACUGUAAAAGAUAGGCAGUUGACCUCUAGAGCAGUUGAAACUGAAUACCACUGAAAGGACAAUCAGAAUAUUCUCAUAUUCAGAAUAGGCAUUCUCUUUCAGAGACGAUGAAAACCAGAGUUCAAGUAAGAGAUGUUUGAUUGGUAUUUCAACAUGCCAUACAUUUUGGGACACUCUUAACUGUAGGAAAUCAUUGGUGGUUAAAUUAUGAGCUCCAUAUAAAUUAUGCUAUGUUGGUUUUAUGUUACUAAAUCUAAUAUUGGGUUAACAUUUGAAAUUUGUCAUAUUUUCUAAGCUCUGAAAAAGAAAAAUGAACCUGGAUUUUUGUCUCUAUGCUCAUCAAAUGGUAACAUCAUAUUGCUAAUUUGGGAAAUAAUUACUAAACUCUACUAAAAUCAUUGUUCAUGGAGCUAAAUCCAAAAUUCAGACAUUUGGGGAAAAAAAGAGUCCACAGCAAUGUAUUUUGAUGUUCUUGGGUAAAGAGGAAUCAGUAUUCAUCCUCAGUAUAGAUUGGAUUCCUUCAAACUAUCUUUACUUUUCAAGCAUCUAACAUUCACAGUUAGCAUGUGAGUCCCUCUAUCUAAUAAAAAGUCACAAGAGGCAGCUCUACACAAGAAAGAUUGAUUUGUGAUAUGCUGCUUCUCAUAAUGACACCACCAUGUGGUAUGUUCUGAGGUGGAGCUUUAUUCAUAUGCACCCCAGAUAGUAAAACAAACAGUGUAAUGUAUAAAAAGAAAAUCUCUUUAGAAACAACCUAAAUGUUUAUCAAUAGGAGAAUGGAUCAAAAUAACGUGAUAUUUCCACAUAAUGGGGUAAAAUAUAUUAUGUAAAAUUAAUGAUCCUAAAAGUAUCACAUAUUAAAGUGAAUGUUCAAAACCAAGUUACAGAUGUAUACAUAUACACACACACACACACACACACACAUAUAUAUAUAAUGAUACCAUGAUUAUAAAAUUGUAAAACAUGCAAAAUGAACAUUAUUUAUGAGUUUCAUAUAUGGUUUAAAACAUUUCAAAUGUGUAUAGGAAUGAUUAACAUCAAAUUUAGUGCAGUGGUUAUUAUCUUUGGUUAUAUGUAAUAGCGAAUGGGAUUGAAGAAAUGUACACAGAGCUUCAACUGUAUCUAUAAUGACUGAUUUUUUAAAAAAAUAACUUUAAAAUCUGAAGUGAAUAUGGUACCUGGUUACCUUGAUACACAGGUGUUUGCUAUAUUCUCUCUCUUUUUCUCUGUGUUUGAAAUAUUUCAUGGGGUCCUAUUGUACAGUACAGGGAACUGUGUCCAAUCUCUUGGGUUAGAAGAUGAUGGAAGAUAGUAUGAAAAAGAAAAAAAA
RNAcentral lists this long non-coding RNA (1854 nucleotides) under Sus scrofa (pig). RNAcentral describes it as "lncRNA (ENSSSCG00005013189.1)". The record is from RNAcentral. Lineage: Eukaryota; Metazoa; Chordata; Mammalia; Artiodactyla; Suidae.